This 395-nucleotide ribosomal RNA is filed under the name Escherichia coli. RNAcentral's name for it is "bacterial SSU rRNA". It matches the Rfam family "Bacterial small subunit ribosomal RNA", at positions 194 to 583 of the family's 1533-position model. The record is from RNAcentral. Lineage: Bacteria; Pseudomonadati; Pseudomonadota; Gammaproteobacteria; Enterobacterales; Enterobacteriaceae.
GGGGGACCUUCGGGCCUCUUGCCAUCGGAUGUGCCCAGAUGGGAUUAGCUAGUAGGUGGGGUAACGGCUCACCUAGGCGACGAUCCCUAGCUGGUCUGAGAGGAUGACCAGCCACACUGGAACUGAGACACGGUCCAGACUCCUACGGGAGGCAGCAGUGGGGAAUAUUGCACAAUGGGCGCAAGCCUGAUGCAGCCAUGCCGCGUGUAUGAAGAAGGCCUUCGGGUUGUAAAGUACUUUCAGCGGGGAGGAAGGGAGUAAAGUUAAUACCUUUGCUCAUUGACGUUACCCGCAGAAGAAGCACCGGCUAACUCACGUGCCAGCAGCCGCGGUAAUCCGGAGGGUGCAAGCGUUAAUCGGAAUUACUGGGCGUAAAGCGCACGCUAGCCCUUGGC